UGGGGAAUAUUGCACAAUGGGCGCAAGCCUGAUGCAGCCAUGCCGCGUGUGUGAAGAAGGCCUUCGGGUUGUAAAGCACUUUCAGCGGGGAGGAAGGCGGUAAGGUUAAUAACCUUAUCAAUUGACGUUACCGACAGAAGAAGCACCGGCUAACUCCGUGCCAGCAGCCGCGGUAAUACGGAGGGUGCAAGCGUUAAUCGGAAUUACUGGGCGUAAAGCGCACGCAGGCGGUUGAUUGAGUCAGAUGUGAAAUCCCCGGGCUUAACCCGGGAAUUGCAUCUGAUACUGGUCAGCUAGAGUCUUGUAGAGGGGGGUAGAAUUCCAUGUGUAGCGGUGAAAUGCGUAGAGAUGUGGAGGAAUACCGGUGGCGAAGGCGGCCCCCUGGACAAAGACUGACGCUCAGGUGCGAAAGCGUGGGGAGCAAACAGG
Molecule: ribosomal RNA, 429 nt
Filed under: Chloroflexota bacterium
Lineage: Bacteria; Bacillati; Chloroflexota
Description: Chloroflexi bacterium partial 16S ribosomal RNA
Rfam family: Bacterial small subunit ribosomal RNA
Source: RNAcentral